Molecule: long non-coding RNA, 700 nt
Organism: Ooceraea biroi (clonal raider ant)
Lineage: Eukaryota; Metazoa; Arthropoda; Insecta; Hymenoptera; Formicidae
Source: RefSeq, a predicted model, not a curated record
CCAAUUAUAAAUUUUAUUCGUUUAACCAUCAAAGUAAUUUUCCUUUUUCCAGUUUUAAUUACAUUUGCAUAUUGUGCUACCUGAAACAUAAUACUACGAAAAAUAAAGUACUGAUGAUGCCAGUGAUGCCAGCAAUUACUAUGUUUCAGUGAAUUCAGUCGAAUUUAUGGAAAACUGAAUGAAACCAAUAACCAUACGAGUAUGGAGUUUUUUUGGGACAAUACGCUGUCCCAUGAUUGCAUGAGCUACACGUUCAACGCCAUAAUAGCCAUCAUUCUGCUGUGGCAACUCCAGACGAUCAUGUACCUCAGCCUAUACAUGUGAUUGUCAAUUACUUUGUUCCAUCAUGUUCCAUGGAUUAUUGGUGGUGCUGAGUGACAUCUUUGAACAAUUCUUCGAAAGGAUUUUUAUGGUAUAACAAACUGGUGUUGCGAUGGCUGAGAAUCUUCUUGACACAGCUGCGAAGGUAAGCAAUGAGUCAAUUUAAUGAUAAUGAGCAUCAUACUAAUAAUUAUAAUAAUGUAAAGCAGUACUUUCUACUUUAAACAAUAUAUUUGGAAUAUUUUUUAUUUGACUGUGUAAAUACAUAGAAAUAAUUUUAUUAAUUCAAGUCUUUACACUUGCAGUUAGUUAAUAAUACACAAUAUAUUUUUUUAUUUUUAACAUACUUAUAUGUUAUAUCGCAAAAUCAAACAAAAAA